AAUGGUACAGUCAUUUUUGAAGACAGUUUGGCAGUUUCUUACAAAACUAAACACACUUUUACCACACGAUCCAACAAUUGUGCUCCUUGCUAUUUACCAAAAGGAGCUCAUGUCUACAAGAAAA
Molecule: non-coding RNA, 124 nt
Organism: Ceratotherium simum simum (southern white rhinoceros)
Lineage: Eukaryota; Metazoa; Chordata; Mammalia; Perissodactyla; Rhinocerotidae
Source: RefSeq, a predicted model, not a curated record